This 465-nucleotide ribosomal RNA is filed under the name Vreelandella stevensii. Its description in RNAcentral is "partial 16S ribosomal RNA". It matches the Rfam family "Bacterial small subunit ribosomal RNA", at positions 338 to 795 of the family's 1533-position model. The record is from RNAcentral. Lineage: Bacteria; Pseudomonadati; Pseudomonadota; Gammaproteobacteria; Oceanospirillales; Halomonadaceae.
CCUACGGGAUGCAGCAGUGGGGAAUAUUGGACAAUGGGCGAAAGCCUGAUCCAGCCAUGCCGCGUGUGUGAAGAAGGCCUUCGGGUUGUAAAGCACUUUCAGUGGGGAAGAAAGCCUUGGGGCUAAUACCCCCGAGGAAGGACAUCACCCACAGAAGAAGCACCGGCUAACUCCGUGCCAGCAGCCGCGGUAAUACGGAGGGUGCGAGCGUUAAUCGGAAUUACUGGGCGUAAAGCGCGCGUAGGCGGUCUGAUAAGCCGGUUGUGAAAGCCCCGGGCUCAACCUGGGAACGGCAUCCGGAACUGUCAGGCUAGAGUGCAGGAGAGGAAGGGAGAAGUCCCGGUGUAGCGGUGAAAUGCGUAGAGAUCGGGAGGAAUACCAGUGGCGAAGGCGGCCUUCUGGACUGACACUGACGCUGAGGUGCGAAAGCGUGGGUAGCAAACAGGAUUAGAUACCCGUGUAGUC